GCCAGUGUAGUGUACUGGUUUGAGCAUUGGACUAUGACUCUGGAGACCAGGGUUCAAUUUUCUGCUCAGCCA
RNAcentral lists this transfer RNA (72 nucleotides) under Phrynosoma platyrhinos (Desert horned lizard). RNAcentral's name for it is "tRNA-OTHER". The record is from RNAcentral. Lineage: Eukaryota; Metazoa; Chordata; Lepidosauria; Squamata; Phrynosomatidae.